RNAcentral lists this microRNA precursor (124 nucleotides) under Hordeum vulgare. Its description in RNAcentral is "microRNA MIR1122". It matches the Rfam family "MIR1120/MIR1122 microRNA precursor family". The record is from RNAcentral. Lineage: Eukaryota; Viridiplantae; Streptophyta; Magnoliopsida; Poales; Poaceae.
UUAAUACUCCCUCCGUCCGGAAAUACUUGUUCAAGGAAUGGAUGUAUCUAGAUGUAUUUUAGUUCUAGAUACAUUCAUUGUAUCCAUUUUUGUAACAAGUAAUUUCGAAAGAAGAGAGUAGUAA